This 440-nucleotide ribosomal RNA is filed under the name uncultured bacterium. RNAcentral's name for it is "partial 16S ribosomal RNA". It matches the Rfam family "Bacterial small subunit ribosomal RNA", at positions 338 to 795 of the family's 1533-position model. The record is from RNAcentral.
CCUACGGUAGACAGCAGUAGGGAAUAUUGCUCAAUGGGGGAAACCCUGCAGCAGCAACGCCGCGUGGAGGAUGAAGGUUUUCGGAUUGUAAACUCCUUUUGUUAGAGAAGAUAAUGACGGUAUCUAACGAAUAAGCACCGUCUAACGCCGUGCCAGCAGCCGCGGGAAUACGGAGGGUGCAAGCGUUACUCGGAAUCACUGGGCGUAAAGAGCGCGUAGGCGGGAUAGCAAGUCAGACGUGAAAUCCUAUGGCUUAACCAUAGAACUGCAUUGGAAACUGUUAUUCUAGAGUAUGGGAGAGGUAGGUGGAAUUCUUGGUGUAGUGGUAAAAUCCGUAGAGAUCAAGAGGAAUACUCAUUGCGAAGGCGACCUGCUAGAACAUAACUGACGCUGAUGCGCGAAAGCGUGGGGAGCAAACAGGAUUAGAUACCCGGGUAGUC